UACGGGGGGGGCAAGCGUUGUUCGGAAUUACUGGGCGUAAAGGGCUCGUAGGCGGCCAACUAAGUCAGACGUGAAAUCCCCAGGCUUAACCUGGGAACUGCGUCUGAUACUGGAUGGCUUGAAUUCGGGAGAGGGAUGCAGAAUUCCAGGUGUAGCGGUGAAAUGCGUAGAUAUCGGGAGGAACACCAGUGGCGAAGGCGACUUCCUGGCCUGUUCUUGACGCUGAGGCGCGAAAGCUAGGGUAGCAAACGGG
Molecule: ribosomal RNA, 253 nt
Filed under: uncultured bacterium
Lineage: Bacteria
Description: partial 16S ribosomal RNA
Rfam family: Bacterial small subunit ribosomal RNA
Source: RNAcentral